Aegilops tauschii subsp. strangulata is the source of this 1226-nucleotide long non-coding RNA. RefSeq lists it as uncharacterized. NCBI's taxonomy places the organism in Eukaryota, Viridiplantae, Streptophyta, Magnoliopsida, Poales, Poaceae. The record is from RefSeq and is a predicted model, not a curated record.
CAUUGAAUUUAAAAAAAUGUUCAUCAAAAUUUAUAAAAUUCUUCGAAUUUGAAAAGUAAUUUCAUCAUUUGAAGAAAAAAGUUCAGGAAUUUGAAACAUCAUACCAGGAAGAAAAAAGAAUAAACAGAAACAUAAAACGAAAAAAGGAAAAGGGAAAACAAGAAAAAAGAAGAAGGAAAGAGGAAAUACGAAAAUUAGGAAAGAGAUGUAAGUUGACAUAUCAGUGAAGGUGGCGUGGUGGUUACCGCAAUAUAGUUUGGUGUGGACGUCGCUGGUUUGAUCCCCCGCGUGUGCGCCUUUUACACGUUUACAAGAAAGCGAAGAUGGGUCGGCCCAGCGCGGGGCGCUGCAGGCGCCCGUUUGCAAAAUACACAUUAACGGGCAGCGUCAAAUAGGAUUCGCCCAAUUUUUUUAUGUUUUCUUGGGCGUUCUUCUCUGGUUUUGGGGGGUUUCUACUUUAUGUUUUUUCUUAUAUUUUCUUCUUCUUUUGCUUUUAAAAUUCAUGAACAUUCAAAAUACCACCAACAUUUAAUAUUUUUAUGAAUAUAUCGAUAUCUCAAAAUUUGCAAACUAAAAAAAAUACUUUUUUGAUUCCAACUUUUUAAAAUAUUUUUACAUGAACUAUAACAUUUUUCUGGAAUAAAAGAAACUUUUUUUUCUGGAAUAAACGAAACGGAACCAGAAAACCAGCUCCACCACGUUCCCGGAGGUGCAGAAACGGUAUGUGGGCCGGCCGCCGGCCCACCGCGCGUUUUGGGGCCUUCCUGUUCGCGGUGCCCACUCUGUAUGCCUUCCGGUGCUCCUCACCGCCGUUCCGGCGCACGGACGCCGUCGGCCAUUGGGCAUGCCGCUGACCUCCAGCGGCACGCACUCCGCCUCCACCUCCACCAGCGGUGGAACCGCUUUUGGCUCACCUGGGUUUACCGGCGAUGCCGAACAGGGGAAGAAAAGCGCCUCCCCAUGCCGCGCGCGGUUCCGAUCUGCUGGUACAUGCUGCUGCAAAAGGUCUAUCUAAAGUGUGACGGUUCUUUCCUCCUCCCGUAUUUCCUACCAUAGAUGGUACCCAACUCAUUCAGUUGCCUACCUUCAUAGUCCAUAAUUUUCUCUGAUCAUCUUUUUAAUGUUUUCCUUAUCUUCCUUCAAUCUUAUGGGAUCUGCAAAAGGAUCUGUAAAUCUCCUGCAAGCUGACUUACACAAAGAUACUUGACGGCUAUUUGAACUUUGAA